This is an RNA transcript of Selaginella moellendorffii, 1448 nucleotides long. It is a transcript of the gene named probable ascorbate-specific transmembrane electron transporter 2, with no coding region annotated. Lineage: Eukaryota; Viridiplantae; Streptophyta; Lycopodiopsida; Selaginellales; Selaginellaceae. The transcript is spliced from 5 exons. The record is from RefSeq and is a predicted model, not a curated record.
UAUGGUGAUACCCGGGCGCCGUGCGCUCAAGCAAGGCGCGCUCUCCUGGAUCUCUCGCCGCCGCCUCGUUACUCUGGUUCUUGGAGCUGUGCUGCUCGCCUACAUUCUUGUUUCGCUUCAAGAUCGAGGAUAUCGGGCCGGAUCUACGUCGUCUUCGUCGCGGUGGGCGGAUUACACGCUUGAGGCCGCCGCUGCUGCAGUGGCGCGGGACGGCAGGAUCGUCGUGUGCGCGGUGAGCUUCCCCUACCUUGCAUUCCUCGUGAAUUGGCUGAUUAGCAUCGCGAGCCACGGGCACCACGACAAGGUGUUGGUGAUUGCCGAAGACUAUGAGAUGCUCAACUACGUGAACGAGUUCUGGCCUGGCCAUGCGGUCCUUGUGCCACCGGCAUUGCCACUUGCGACUGCUCAGAGGUUUGGAUCACAGGGUUUCUUUAAUUUCACUUCCCGCAGGCCACAACAUCUGCUCAAACUUUUGGAACUUGGCUACUCUGUUCUUUACAACGACGUGGAUAUGGUCUGGAUGAGCGAUCCAUUCCCGUUGUUUACUGGUGACCAUGACAUAUAUUUCACAGACGACAUGACUGCGAUCAAGCCUCUUGACCAUUCUCACAGCCUUCCGCCUCCAGGAAAGAAAGGCAGAACCUACAUCUGUAGCUGUAUGAUCUUCCUGCGGCCCACACCUGGAGCAAAGCUUGUUCUACAAAAAUGGAUUGAAGAGCUUCAACAGCAGCCCUGGUCUCCCAAGGCAAAGGCAAACGAUCAGCCUGCCUUCAACUGGGCUUUGAACAAAACUUCCAACAAGGUUGACAUGUAUCUCCUACCUCAGGCAUCCUUCCCUUCCGGCGGACUAUACUUCAAGAACGAAACCUGGCGAAGAUUACCUCAGAACCAGAACAAGCUCACGAUUAUUCACAACAAUUACAUCACUGGCUUUGACAAAAAGAUCAAGCGAUUUCACGACACCGGCCUCUGGCUCAUCGACGACGCUCAUGUCAACACCUUGCCCGACUUUAAUCUCGUAAAACACUAUCUCGACACGCAGCCACAACUAUAGCAAUCUCGUCUCCAUCACAAGUUUCCCUCGAGCAGCUGUCCACCGGAUAUCGAUCUUCUCCUUUUUAUCUCCACUUUAUUCUCUCUCUGGUGAUAUCACCUGAGCUCACACUUAGACAUGCGGCCCUGGUUUAUUUCCAUUGUCCCGCCUUGUACAACUGCUCUUGUGGCGUUUGUUGUCUUCAUCAAUAGUUUCCAGCCACUAGUCGCGGACGGAGAUAACUGUGACUUAACUCUACUUCACAUUUGUUCACGAAGGCGAGAAGAUCGACCGUAGCUCUGGUUAGUUUCCUUUUGGCACUCCCUUUUUUGUUGUAUAUAAGUGUAUCGCUGCCGAGAGCUAAUUUUACUGGGACUAGUUUGUCCUUUUUUCCCUUGUAGGUGGAAGCGAUGAA